UUGGAGGGCAAGUCUGGUGCCAGCAGCCGCGGUGAUUCCAGCUCCAAUAGCGUAUAUUAAAGUUGUUGCAGUUAAAAAGCUCGUAGUUGAAUUUCGGGGUUCUACCGUUGGUCGGGCUUUGUCUGUACUGGUGUGUAGAAUUUCUACCUUCUGGGGAACCAUCAUGCUAUUAAUUUAGCGUGGUGGGAAACCAGGACCUUUACCUUGAAAAAAUUAGUGUGUUCAAAGCAGGCUUAUGUCUGAAUACAUUAGCGUGGAAUAAUAGAAUAGGACGGUGGUCCUGUUUUGUUGGUUUCUGAAUCACCGUAAUGAUUAAUAGGGAUAGUUGGGGGCAUUAGUAUUCAAUUGUCAGAGGUGAAAUUCUUGGAUUUAUUGAAGACUAACUUCUGCGAAAGCAUUUGCCAAGGAUGUUUUCAUUAAUCAAGAACGAAAGUUAGGGGAUCGAAGACGAUCAGAUACCGUCGUAGUCUUAACCAUAAACUAUGCCGACUAGGGAUCGGACGAUGUUAAUUUUUCUUGACUCGUUCGGCGCCUUACGGGAAAC
RNAcentral lists this ribosomal RNA (544 nucleotides) under uncultured Glomeromycotina. Its description in RNAcentral is "SSU rRNA". It matches the Rfam family "Eukaryotic small subunit ribosomal RNA", at positions 548 to 1098 of the family's 1831-position model. The record is from RNAcentral. Lineage: Eukaryota; Fungi; Glomeromycota.